This 647-nucleotide long non-coding RNA is filed under the name Theobroma cacao (cacao). Its description in RNAcentral is "long non-coding RNA (TCAC_LNC001595)". The record is from RNAcentral. Lineage: Eukaryota; Viridiplantae; Streptophyta; Magnoliopsida; Malvales; Malvaceae.
CAUCCUGUUCCUUGCAUAAAAGUUGGCAAUUUGUACUUGAUUCUUUAGAGGAAGCAAGUUGUAAUGCACAAACUUCUUCUAAAUUUGGGGAAGAAGUAUAAUACAAAGGAUUUUUGUUGAACAUUAGGAAAAUCUACUCAUAAAAUUCAUUGUGCAAAUUUGGAGAAGUUUGAUUCAUCAUAUCUUCCUUAUUGGAUUUGUUUGUGGAACUAUGGAGAGGCUUUGAUCUUCAUAUCUUUAUUCUUGGAUUUAUUUGCAGAGCUUCAAAAAGGAUUUGAUUCUUCAUAUCUUUUUUUUUAGAUUUGUUUGUGGAAAUCUCAAGAGGCUUUGAUCUUCAGAUCUUUUUUCUUGGAUUUAUUUGUGGAGUUAACUUUAGAGAGGCUUUGAUCUUCACAUCUUCCUUCUUGGAUUUGUUUGUGGAACUUUAAAGAGGUUUUGAUCUUCAAAUCUUUUUUCUUGGAUUUAUUUGUGGAAAUCUAGAGAGGCUUUGAUUAUUUAGAUCUUCAUUCUUGGAUUUGUUUAACUUUAGAGAGGCUUUGGAUCUUCAGAAUCUUCCUUCUGAAGGCCUUGGACUUGUGGGAGUUUUGCAAGCUUUGUUCUUCAAAAUCUUCUUUUUUCUCUCUUGUUCAUCAAAUGGCUUGGAGGAG